This 302-nucleotide long non-coding RNA is filed under the name Hordeum vulgare. RNAcentral describes it as "long non-coding RNA (HVUL_LNC011993)". Lineage: Eukaryota; Viridiplantae; Streptophyta; Magnoliopsida; Poales; Poaceae. The record is from RNAcentral.
GAGUCGCCAAGUCCCAGCCGGUUCAUAUUUCAAGCCGGGUUAUACUGCAAGCCAGGUUGUACCGCGGGGUAUAUCCCAGACAGGGACCAUACAAGGCACCGAGGAAAAUACAACCCCGGAGGACCCCGGCAACCUCGGAGUUCUCGAGAAGCAACCGGAGGAACCCGAACAAGCCCGAGGGCCAGUCCGAUCCCAACGAUUUCGACGAUUCAGGCGAUGACAACUACGUCCCUCCUAACGACGCGGAAGAUAGUCUAGAGGCCAAAGACUUCAAAGUUCCCGUGGACCUUAAGGGUUAGGAA